RNAcentral lists this ribosomal RNA (1246 nucleotides) under Tomato big bud phytoplasma (Tanzania). Its description in RNAcentral is "bacterial SSU rRNA". It matches the Rfam family "Bacterial small subunit ribosomal RNA", at positions 153 to 1398 of the family's 1533-position model. Lineage: Bacteria; Bacillati; Mycoplasmatota; Mollicutes; Acholeplasmatales; Acholeplasmataceae. The record is from RNAcentral.
GAAACGACUGCUAAGACUGGAUAGGAAGAAAUAAGGCAUCUUAUUUCUUUUAAAAGACCUAGUAAUAGGUAUACUUUAGGAGGGGCUUGCGCCAUAUUAGUUAGUUGGUAGGGUAAUGGCCUACCAAGACGAUGAUGUGUAGCUGGACUGAGAGGUUGAACAGCCACAUUGGGACUGAGACACGGCCCAAACUCCUACGGGAGGCAGCAGUAAGGAAUUUUCGGCAAUGGAGGAAACUCUGACCGAGCAACGCCGCGUGAACGACGAAGUACUUUGGUAUGUAAAGUUCUUUUAUCAAGGAAGAAAAGCAAGUGGCGAACCAUUUGUUUGCCGGUACUUGAUGAAUAAGCCCCGGCUAAUUAUGUGCCAGCAGCCGCGGUAAGACAUAAGGGGCAAGUGUUAUCCGGAAUUAUUGGGCGUAAAGGGUGCGUAGGCGGUCUAGUAAGUCAGUGGUGUAAUGGCAACGCUCAACGUUGUCCGGCUAUUGAAACUGCUAAACUUGAGUUAGAUAGAGGCGAGUGGAAUUCCAUGUGUAGCGGUAAAAUGCGUAAAUAUAUGGAGGAACACCAGAGGCGUAGGCGGCUCGCUGGGUCUUAACUGACGCUGAGGCACGAAAGCGUGGGGAGCAAACAGGAUUAGAUACCCUGGUAGUCCACGCCGUAAACGAUGAGUACUAAGUGUCGGGUUAAACCGGUACUGAAGUUAACACAUUAAGUACUCCGCCUGAGUAGUACGUACGCAAGUAUGAAACUUAAAGGAAUUGACGGGACUCCGCACAAGCGGUGGAUCAUGUUGUUUAAUUCGAAGAUACCCGAAAAACCUUACCAGGUCUUGACAUGUUUUUGCGAAACGGUAGUAAUAUCGUAGAGGUUAUCAGAAACACAGGUGGUGCAUGGUUGUCGUCAGCUCGUGUCGUGAGAUGUUAGGUUAAGUCCUAAAACGAGCGAAACCCUUAUCGUUAGUUGCCAGCACGUUAUGGUGGGGACUUUAACGAGACUGCCAGUGAUAAACUGGAGGAAGGUGAGGAUCACGUCAAAUCAGCAUGCCCCUUAUGACCUGGGCUACAAACGUGAUACAAUGGCUGUUACAAAGGGUAGCUGAAACGUAAGUUCUUGGCCAAUCCCCAAAAACAGUCUCAGUCCGGAUUGAAGUCUGCAACUCGACUUCAUGAAGUUGGAAUCGCUAGUAAUCGCGAAUCAGCAUGUCGCGGUGAAUACGUUCGCGGGGUUUGUACACACCGCCCGUC